AGAGCAACAAUGAUGUUACAUCCAUCUUAACUCAUCCUUGCACUAUGAGUCCAACGGUGAAGAAAGAAAUUGGGGAAUAUGUAGUCUGAGAUGCUC
RNAcentral lists this small nucleolar RNA (96 nucleotides) under Oryza brachyantha (malo sina). RNAcentral describes it as "Small nucleolar RNA snoR26". It matches the Rfam family "Small nucleolar RNA snoR26". Lineage: Eukaryota; Viridiplantae; Streptophyta; Magnoliopsida; Poales; Poaceae. The record is from Rfam by way of RNAcentral.